CAGUCGCCGCGGGAAUACAGAGGGUGCAAGCGUUAAUCGGAAUUACUGGGCGUAAAGCGCGCGUAGGUGGUUUGUUAAGUUGGAUGUGAAAUCCCCGGGCUCAACCUGGGAACUGCAUCCAAAACUGGCAAGCUAGAGUAUGGUAGAGGGUGGAGGAAUUUCCUGUGUAGCGGUGAAAUGCGUAGAUAUAGGAAGGAACACCAGUGGCGAAGGCGACCACCUGGACUGAUACUGACACUGAGGUGCGAAAGCGUGGGGAGCAAACAGGAUUAGAUACCCCCGUAGUCCCUGUCUCUUAUAC
RNAcentral lists this ribosomal RNA (301 nucleotides) under uncultured bacterium. Its description in RNAcentral is "partial 16S ribosomal RNA". It matches the Rfam family "Bacterial small subunit ribosomal RNA", at positions 509 to 807 of the family's 1533-position model. The record is from RNAcentral.